Molecule: ribosomal RNA, 827 nt
Filed under: Miridae gen. n. sp. South Africa 716
Lineage: Eukaryota; Metazoa; Arthropoda; Insecta; Hemiptera; Miridae
Description: eukaryotic LSU rRNA
Rfam family: Eukaryotic large subunit ribosomal RNA
Source: RNAcentral
CUCAGGGGUAAACGGAAAAGACCCGAAAUUUCCGAAAAGGGAGAUUCACGUCUUCUCGCGGGUUCGACGCAUCCGCUCCUCUCCGACGGCCCUGCCCCCGCUCGGACUCGUCCGGCGCGUGGUGGUGGGGUUGCAGAGGGCGGUGUGGAGGCCUGCGGCGGACCGCACUUCUCCCUUAGUAGGACGUCGUGACCCGUCCGGUCAUGGUCAUAAGGUCGCAGGGUGGAGCCCGCCCGUUCGUGCUUGCACGUUUUUCGGGCGGACCCCCGCGUCCCGGCCAUGAUAUCCCCGGUCGGUAUCGAAUGACGGUGUUCGGUCGCUCACCGGCGGAGGAAACUCCUGCCAGAGAGCGCGAUUGAUAUAGCCCUUGACAAGGUGCCGGGAUUGUCGGUCAAGGCGGGCUUCCGUCCGUCUGGCUGCGCUCGGCCCUGUUAGUCUUGGUGCCCUUUCGCUCGGCCUAUUUACACUUGUCUACGGCGAAUCAGUUUUGGGCUCUUGUCCGACCCGUCUUGAAACACGGACCAAGGAGUUCAGCGUGUACGCAAGUCAUUGGGUUGUAAAACCCAAAGGCGAAAUGAAAGUGAAGGGAACUUUGCGUUUCUGAGGGAUGAUGAGUCGGUUACCCGCAAGGGGCUGCUCCGCACUCCCGGGGCGUCUCUUUCUCACUGCGAGUGGAGGCGCACCCAGAGCGUACACGCUGAUACCCGAAAGAUGGUGAACUAUGCCUGGCCAGGACGAAGCCAGGGGAAACCCUGGUGGAGGUCCGCAGCGAUUCUGACGUGCAAAUCGAUCGUCGGAGCUGGGUAUAGGGGCGAAANGACCAUCGA